AAGAGGGACUUUGCCUAACAAUUGCAAUCAGUGUAACCUGGCUUAUGUUACCCUCAAUGAAUCCCCAACAAUGAAAGAAAAAAAAGAAAAUGUGGAUACGAUUUACCAGAUGGAACUGGCUGAAGUGCAGAAUUGUGACUCUGCAAGACGCAUUCAAGUCAAGCAGCCUUCCUAAUUUCUAUGCAUCUCUCCCCUCUGAGACACAUCCUAAUGUCAGGAACCAUACACUCAAAAUGGCAACCAUCUUUGGCAGCACUUAUGUCUGUGAAAAGACUUUUUCCAGAAUGACAUCUGAAAUCUCCAACCAGAUCUAGACUAACUGAUACACACUUGCAUCAGUUGUUACAACUAGCAGUGACAAAUAUGGAACUGGACAUUGACCAUUUCAUUAGCCAAAAGCAGCCCCAUAGUUCCCAUUGAAAUACUGAACUCUGAGUUACUUUAGGCCAUUAAUGCCGUCUUCUGUAAAAGUGCAGAGAGAGUCAAGAAGAAUGAGGUUCCACAUGAAGACCAAAGUGUGAGUUUUUAAUUUCAUGGCCUCCAGUGCUCUCCCCUGCCUUCAAUUUCUGCUAUGGAAAUGGGCAUAUGGGGCCUGUGACCUCUUUCUGGAAAAAUAAUAAAUCCGUGGGUCCAGACAGGCCCACUCAUCCACAGAGAAUUCUAUGGAUACAUUCUAUAAUGUCAACAGUCUCUGAAAAAUAAAUAUUUUUCAGGAAGCCAAAGGAGAUUGAAUCUUACUUUGAGUUAAAUGAGUGAAGAGAACUGUUGCUGACUUAUAUGAGUGACUGGAAUUACCUACUAAGUAUAGAAGAGCUAUAUUCCCUCAUGUGUUUCUUAUUUCUUCACCUCCAGUCCCCUCCCCUGCCAGCAAUUUCUGCUAUCGAAAUGAAGAUAUGGACCCUGUGACCUCCUUCUGGGUGAAAACAAACAAACAAACAAAAAACAACUCUUAAAUGUAUCUGGAAACCCUCAUGCUUUACAUUGUGCCUUCAUGUCACAUGGGGGCACUUAAUUAAAACCACAUGGAUCACACAAUCCAGAUUAAUAGAAGCUGUAGCAGGCAGAAUCACAGAUGAUGGUGCUUCUUCAAACUGGUCAUGGAAUCCUAACUGGAAGCCUGGGCUGAGAAACACUUAGCUAAGCAUCGCCUCUCAGGCUUUAGUAUGCUACAAGGUAUUUCUCAGUAUGCCCCCUCUAAGCAUAUGAUUCUGCAAGAGCAGCAGUUACUCUAUCUUGAAGCAAAUCAGUUUUUUUAUAAUGCCUAUUUAUGUCCUUGUUUAAGAAUUUCAGAAAGAUGGUUGACCUCAUGGUUCAAGCCUGUAGUCCCAGCACUCAAAGAGGCCCAGAUAAAUGGAUUGCCUAAGCUAAUGAGUUCCUGAUCCACAGCAAGAGUGAGACCUCAUCUCUAAAAAUAGGAGGGCAUUGUAGAGAGCAUCUGUAGGCCACAUACUUGGGAGGCUGAGGCAAGAGUAUGGCUUAACCCUAGAGUUUAAGGUUUCUGUGAGCUGUGAUGCUACAGCACUUCAUUGAGUUGACAAAGUGAGACUCUGUCUCAUAAAAAAAAAAAGAAGAAGAAGAAUUUCAGAAAGUGUUUUGAGCUAUUAAUUGUAGAACCAAGAUUAAAGAACUCCCCAUGAAGAAAAAUAGUGAGCGGUUAACCCCCAUUUCUGUUCUGGUCUAGCUGAUGGCAAAUGGCAAGACAUGGACAGCCAAAUGGCAAGAGACAUGGAGACCUACACAUAGAAAACGUCCACGCUGUUUUCCAAGCUCCUUUCCCCUUUCACCACCUCUGGUCAGCCCAGGAACAUGAGGUGCUCUUUGCAACAUUAGUCAGCCAUCUCCUCAUGUUGCUCUUGAAUAAAUUGC
Long non-coding RNA from Nycticebus coucang (slow loris), 1866 nucleotides. RefSeq lists it as uncharacterized. The record is from RefSeq and is a predicted model, not a curated record. NCBI's taxonomy places the organism in Eukaryota, Metazoa, Chordata, Mammalia, Primates, Lorisidae. The transcript is spliced from 3 exons.